Long non-coding RNA from Stegodyphus dumicola, 760 nucleotides. Lineage: Eukaryota; Metazoa; Arthropoda; Arachnida; Araneae; Eresidae. The record is from RefSeq and is a predicted model, not a curated record.
UCGUUUUAUUUUCACUUCUGUGGUAAAAUAUAUAGGCAGUUAGCUUUGUUUUCUGCUCCGUGAAUUCAAAAUUCUUCGAUGGUAAGUCAGGAAAUAUUGCAUCUAUUUGCUAUCAAUUAAUGUAAUUUUAAGUUGAGUGCUUAUGAUAAAGUUAUAUCCGUUGACAAGCAUAUUUUGUAAAAUGCAAUAAUUGUGUCAUCUUUCAAAAUUUGGAUUUUUUUACGAUGCUUGAAAAGCCAGUUCCAGAUGUUUCUUCAGUUAUGCGUUUAUAAAGCGUGAGAUCUACAAAAUCGUAACAACAAACUGCGAUCUUUCGUCAGAUUUGAAAUCAGAAUUCGGACAGUGGUGUGUACAGUUCAGUUCAUAACUAUGAAAUGAAUUAUUCUUGAAGAACCUUUAUAAUUUCUCCUUAAUGCAGCGAGAAUUUUAAUGAUUGCCCGCCACAUUUUUGACUCGGCAUGACCGAGCAAAAACCUAUUGUCAGCACGGGCCUGAGGAAAAGAGAGAAAGUAGAGAAAGAAUGGAGAAAAUAGUGGAAGUCAAAAGUAUCGAAGAAAGGAAAAUUCUAGAAGCAAAGUUGCCAAAUAAUGAUUUGCUAAAUGGAACAUUUUUUUCUUUAGGUUGUGUGUCAUCUCAAAUUUGUUUGACUUUUAUCGGUGCUAAAAUUUGUGUGAGAAAUCAUAUGCUUUUUUUUAUCUUCCCUAAAAGAAAUACUUUUUGGUCAGUUUUACCUAUAAACAUUUCCCCUUCUGUUUUCCUA